AUUAUGAGAUGUUUCUACAUAAUACGAUACUUUGCACAUGUGAAUUCGUGCAAAUUCAUCAUGUUUUGAUGAUAUUGUUCUUAUAUAAAUAAAAGGAUCAGCUUAUACAACAACCUCUCACAAAUAUUCGAGCACAUCGUUUAGCAGAAACAUGAAGGUUAUUAUUAUAUGCCUCCUAUUGAUAAGCACAUGUGGUGUGCUUUCUCAAUCUUUGUCGAGCUUUCUACCAAACUCGAUGUUUAAACGAUGCAAUAAAUGCAGGAUGUGUGGCUAUGGGUUUAGAUUUUGCGGAUUAUGUCAAAACAGCACAUUUGGCAGCUGUUCGUAUUGUAAGAAAAUGAAGCACUGCAGAAAAACAUGUGUCACCCUUUGCGGUUACAAAUGGAAUUAUGGUGGAUGAACUUCUUGAGGAAAAGUAAUUAAUUCAAUCAGAAGAACAGUUCAUAUCAUUAACAUGUAAACAGCAAUGUGAAAUAUCUAUGCCAUAUUAGGACUAUUUUCAACAAUUGUAAGACAUUAUCAUUUAGAGCUUUGUUAACAUUGCAUUUAGCAACCACAUGUUUUUGUAACGUAUACGAAUUUAUAUUUUGAAAAUAUGUUUGUGAUUUAUGAUUUAGAAAUUUUAAAAGGAAAAUAAGAUAAUAAAAAAAA
This 651-nucleotide long non-coding RNA is filed under the name Mytilus galloprovincialis (Mediterranean mussel). Lineage: Eukaryota; Metazoa; Mollusca; Bivalvia; Mytilida; Mytilidae. The record is from RNAcentral.